CGGACGGGUGAGUAACGUGUGGGCAACCUGCCCUGUACUGGGGAAUAAUCAUUGGAAACGAUGACUAAUACCGCAUGUGGUCCUCGGAAGGCAUCUUCUGAGGAAGAAAGGAUUUAUUCGGUACAAGAUGGACCCGCGUCUGAUUAGCUAGUUGGUAAGGUAACGGCUUACCAAGGCGACGAUCAGUAGCCGACCUGAGAGGGUGACCGGCCACAUUGGGACUGAGACACGGCCCAA
This 237-nucleotide ribosomal RNA is filed under the name uncultured bacterium. RNAcentral describes it as "partial 16S ribosomal RNA". It matches the Rfam family "Bacterial small subunit ribosomal RNA", at positions 99 to 334 of the family's 1533-position model. The record is from RNAcentral.